This 71-nucleotide ribozyme is filed under the name unclassified sequences. Its description in RNAcentral is "HDV ribozyme from F. prausnitzii". It matches the Rfam family "HDV ribozyme from F. prausnitzii". The record is from RNAcentral.
GCUGCUCAAAACUUUGCACACCUCUACGCGGUGAGCAGUAGGCAACGUCAUUUGACGGCUAAGAUGUGAAG